Molecule: long non-coding RNA, 268 nt
Filed under: Lathyrus oleraceus (garden pea)
Lineage: Eukaryota; Viridiplantae; Streptophyta; Magnoliopsida; Fabales; Fabaceae
Description: Pisum sativum (pea) long non-coding RNA (PSAT_LNC012447)
Source: RNAcentral
GAAGAUGAAGACUGCACCAAUUUUAUGACACAUGGAAAGGCUUUCAACAAUUGGGUUGCUGUUGAUGUUCCUGUUAUUGUCCACCGCUCUAAGUAAUUUGUUUUUUCAUUAUUUUUAGAAAAAUCCUUCUCUUAUGCCUAAGGGAGAAGUGAACAUUGUUCGGAAUUUUUAAAUUUAUCAUCAAUAAAAUGCAAUUCUAUUCAUCCACAUCCAUGAUGUUUUUAUUUUUACUUUUUGCUUUUCUAAAAAUGGUAAUCACAAAAAACAU